Xyrichtys novacula (pearly razorfish) is the source of this 1395-nucleotide non-coding RNA. NCBI's taxonomy places the organism in Eukaryota, Metazoa, Chordata, Actinopteri, Labriformes, Labridae. The record is from the annotation of a GenBank genome assembly.
GUUUUUCACAUUUCUGCAUUUGCUUCAUUUUUCAAAACCAGAGAAUACAGCUUGAUAUUAUUGUCAGACUUAAUGGGGAUACUUUUAAGUUGGGAGUCAGCCUCUAGUGGCCACUGCUGGUACUGCCCUUUUGAUACUUAAGUAGAAGUGAUAGGUAGGGUUAGGUUUAGGUUUUAGGAGAUUACUUCUUUGUUGUUUUAUCACAGUUUACCCCUUUUACAAGUUGUGAGGAAGACUGGCUGUAUCCAGUUUUCCUCUCUUUAUUUUCAAAAGAAAUACUCAACACUUAAUUUGAGAAAAACUCGAACCAGAAAAACUACUUCUGCAUGCUUCAUAAAAAGUAAACAUGCUGCCUCUUUGUCCGACUGAAAUCUUUCCAGGAAAAACUCGACUCAGAAGCAGCAUUUCCUCAGGAAAGUGGUUCCAUUUCUCACCAUACAUUAAUUUGUGGUUUCGACAGGAUGCAGAGGAACAAACAGCACCAUUAUCUGAGUGUAAAACAGCUACUUAAGAGACGAGUCGGUGCAUAAAACAAACUGAGCAUCACAUGGGAAAGGCGUAAGCAUGGUGUGAGUGAGUUUAUUUCACAGCAUAUUAAUACAAAGUGUGCGUCCAGUCGCUGCUAUCAGAGGCGAUCUGAAUGAGCGUUAGCAGAGGGAGACUUUAGUUCUCCUUUUUCGGGAUCUUCAAAAUGCAAAAAGCUUCAGCUCCCUGCAGCAUGCAUCCCUGUGUGGCAUGCAUGAAUGUAGCCACCAUGUUGGAUUCUGAUAACCUAUCUCUAUCUCUGAGUAAAUGUAUCCGCAGUGUGUGUGUUUGUGUGUGUAGACCAGGCAGGUACACCAGCCCAGGAUGUGUUUCAUUGCUCUGGUCCCUGCUGUGAAAGUUGAUGGGGUUUCCCACAGAGGACGUGCGAAAUGAUCCAGGCAAGUGAUUUGAACAUGUGUAUGUGUGUGUGUGAGAGAAAAAUAGAGGUGGACUUUGCUGUGUAAUGCGGCAUUCAGUGUGUGUUCUGUGUGUCUGAGUGUGUGUUAUCAUUACACUUGAACAGGUGAGAUAGGAAGCGAGUCUGAUUGAAAAACCUGGGCGAUGCGGUUUCACGCUGCGGCUCUCAUUUUACCUCACAACUGCUGCCUGAUUGUUGCUGUGUGACUUAUUUCAAUGUCGGCCAAUCUUCUGAACUCUUCUUCUCCUGUUUCAGCGCCUCCCUGUCAGAAGGUGGUCAGAACAGUCGGACACAGCGCAGCAUAACCAAACUUAUGCAAAUGAGUGAAAUACAAGAAAAUGUCAGCAGCACUUUGACUCCAAAUCCAUUCAGUAUGUAAAACUAAGGAAAAAGGUGGGAGGCAUAAAUUAAAGUAGACCUAUAUGUUAUAACGUUGGAUGUCUACACUUAAG